This 499-nucleotide ribosomal RNA is filed under the name uncultured Tepidimonas sp. RNAcentral's name for it is "bacterial SSU rRNA". It matches the Rfam family "Bacterial small subunit ribosomal RNA", at positions 27 to 507 of the family's 1533-position model. The record is from RNAcentral. Lineage: Bacteria; Pseudomonadati; Pseudomonadota; Betaproteobacteria; Burkholderiales.
AUUGAACGACUGGCGGCGACUUGCUUUUACACAUGCAAGUCGAACGGUAACAGGCCUUCGGGUGCUGACGAGUGGCGAACGGGUGAGGUAAUGCAUCGGAACGUGCCCAGAGUGGGGGAGUAACGCAGCGAAAGCUGUGCUAAUACCGCAUGUGAUCUGAGGAUGAAAGCGGGGGACCGAAGCAGCAAUGUUUUGGCCUCGCGCCUCUGGAGCGGCCGAUGUCAGAUUAGGUAGUUGGUGGGUAAAGGCUACCAAGCCGACGAUCUGUAGCUGGUCUGAGAGGACGACCAGCCACACUGGGACUGAGACACGGCCCAGACUCCUACGGGAGGCAGCAGUGGGGAAUUUUUGGACAAUGGGCGCAAGCCUGAUCCAGCAAUGCCGCGUGCGGGAAGAAGGCCUUCGGGUUGUAAACCGCUUUUGUACGGAACGAAAAGGCUCUGGCUAAUACCUGGGGCUGAUGACGGUACCGUAAGAAUAAGCACCGGCUAACUACGUG